GAUGAACGCUGGCGGCGUGCCUAAUACAUGCAAGUCGAGCGAACAGACGAGGAGCUUGCUCCUCUGACGUUAGCGGCGGACGGGUGAGUAACACGUGGAUAACCUACCUAUAAGACUGGGAUAACUUCGGGAAACCGGAGCUAAUACCGGAUAAUAUAUUGAACCGCAUGGUUCAAUAGUGAAAGACGGUUUUGCUGUCACUUAUAGAUGGAUCCGCGCCGCAUUAGCUAGUUGGUAAGGUAACGGCUUACCAAGGAAACGAUGCGUAGCCGACCUGAGAGGGUGAUCGGGCACACUGGAACUGAGACACGGUCCAGACUCCUACGGGAGGCAGCAGUAGGGAAGCUUGCGCAAUGGGCGAAAGCCUGACGGAGCAACGCCGCGUGAGUGAUGAAGGUCUUCGGAUCGUAAAACUCUGUUAUUAGGGAAGAACAAAUGUGUAAGUAACUAUGCACGUCUUGACGGUACCUAAUCAGAAAGCCACGGCUAACUACGUG
This 497-nucleotide ribosomal RNA is filed under the name uncultured bacterium. Its description in RNAcentral is "partial 16S ribosomal RNA". It matches the Rfam family "Bacterial small subunit ribosomal RNA", at positions 28 to 507 of the family's 1533-position model. The record is from RNAcentral.